This 165-nucleotide ribosomal RNA is filed under the name uncultured bacterium. RNAcentral describes it as "partial 16S rRNA". It matches the Rfam family "Bacterial small subunit ribosomal RNA", at positions 355 to 511 of the family's 1533-position model. The record is from RNAcentral.
UAGGGAAUCUUCGGCAAUGGGGGCAACCCUGACCGAGCAACGCCGCGUGAGUGAAGAAGGUUUUCGGAUCGUAAAGCUCUGUUGUUAGAGAAGAACGUGUGUGAGAGUGGAAAGUUCACACAGUGACGGUAACUUACCAGAAAGGGACGGCUAACUACGUGCCAG